Molecule: ribosomal RNA, 469 nt
Filed under: uncultured Lachnospiraceae bacterium
Lineage: Bacteria; Bacillati; Bacillota; Clostridia; Lachnospirales; Lachnospiraceae
Description: bacterial SSU rRNA
Rfam family: Bacterial small subunit ribosomal RNA
Source: RNAcentral
GAUGGGCCCGCAUCUGAUUAGCUAGUUGGUGAGAUAACAGCCCACCAAGGCGACGAUCAGUAGCCGACCUGAGAGGGUGAUCGGCCACAUUGGGACUGAGACAGCGGCCCAAACUCGUACGGGAGGCAGCAGUGGGGAAUAUUGCACAAUGGGCGAAAGCCUGAUGCAGCAACGCCGCGUGAAGGAUGAAGGGUUUCGGCUCGUAAACUUCUAUCAAUAGGGAAGAAACAAAUGACGGUACCUAAAUAAGAAGCCCCGGCUAACUACGUGCCAGCAGCCGCGGUAAUACGUAGGGGGCAAGCGUUAUCCGGAAUUACUGGGUGUAAAGGGAGCGUAGGCGGCAUGGUAAGCCAGAUGUGAAAGCCUUGGGCUUAACCCGAGGAUUGCAUUUGGAACUAUCAAGCUAGAGUACAGGAGAGGAAAGCGGAAUUCCUAGUGUAGCGGUGAAAUGCGUAGAUAUUAGGAAGAA